CAGAUACGCCUCGAUGUUGGACGGAUACCUUUCGCCGUAGCGACCGAGCGAUAGCAGCUCGCCGAGCAGCCAUUGCCGAUCCAGAUCGCGAUCUACGUGUUUGGGAUGGAUUUCCGUGAACGGUCCGAAUCCGGGCGAGUAACCGUCGUCGUUCCAUCGCUGCAGCGGGCCCACUUCGACUUCGGCCGACGGAGCAGAUGACCAGAUGCCGAACGAGGGCCACAGACGGUCGGAGCCGAUCAGUGACAACAGCAGCGCCACUUGGAGCAGAUGCUCCGAAAAACCUUUUUUCAGACGCAACAUGAUUUUCUUUUUGAGUCUCUGCCGAUAAAACAAAUGGAAAAUAUCAUAUUUAAACCGCAUUUUAUACCACCAACACCACGGUGUCAAUAAUAAUAAGAAAUACAAUUUUUAUUGUUUGUUUUAAUGACUAGAAUAUCAUUAUUAUUGUUACAAUAUAACUUAAUGGACAAUUAAUACCGAUUCUUAAUUUAAAUUUUCCCCAUGUUCAUGCGCAAAGAUGAAAAAACAAAAGGUAAAACACUAGCGAGGAAAACAAAAAAGGCAAUGGUUUCGCGCGAAUUGCGCACCACCUUGGAAGUUGAAUAAACCUUCAAUAACAGCUAAGACCGCCGAUCCCGCCGUAACCGGUUGUGUUUCACUCCAUAUGAAGAUUGGUCGUGCAAAUUAUAUUAUACACACAUACACACACAACAACCGGCAUAGAACGUAUUUUGAGGGUUAUUACACGUGUCGUCAUCACCGGCAAGUAUGUCACGAAUCACAUCUGGACACCUAACAGAAGCUCAGCAGUAUCCACCAAAAAAAACCCGUUUCCUUAAUUUAAUAUUAAGAAUAUAAUACUUAAUACAAUUUUUCAUGGUUAAACUUAUUAAGUUACACGUAUUAAAUUUAUAAAGACAUUUAAACAAAGGCAAAUAAUUGUUGAGGCGGUGCAUAAGUUUUAUCUAUUUUAUGUCUAUUAAUUAUAUUGUCCAAAAAGGUGGAUACGCUAAUUAAAAAAUGGUUAAUUACUUAGUGAUGAUUGUAGCUAGAACUACCAGAAUACCGUCUUUUAUGCGUUCUAGAGUGCGGAAUUCUUCGGGGCCCAAUGUGAAUAUUAUUAUUGGACCUCAACCCCACGGGGUGUGUAAGUUAUAAGGAGUAAA
Molecule: long non-coding RNA, 1169 nt
Organism: Adelges cooleyi (spruce gall adelgid)
Lineage: Eukaryota; Metazoa; Arthropoda; Insecta; Hemiptera; Adelgidae
Exons: 3
Source: RefSeq, a predicted model, not a curated record